GGUGAGAACUAGUCUUAUAUUGUGCUAAGCCCUGUGAUUUCAGGGUUGAUCUGUUGGAGUAGCUAGAAUUUCCUUAACAGACACAACAAAUGACCCAUCUAGAAUAGUGUGUGGCACUUGAAAAGCACUCAGCAAAUGUCCUCUGUUAUGAUCGUCAUCAUCUUAAUUAACUAAACUUCUACUCUGUGCUAAGAAAUUUACAUGCCUCACCUUGAAUCCUCCCAGCAACUCUGAAAGCGUUACUAGUCACUCCAUUUCAUAGAUCAGGAAACUGAGAAGUUAAAUGAUUUACUUAAGGUCACAGAGCAGGUGGAGGAGUGGUAUUCUAAACCUUGGUUUAUAUGAUAUGGUUCCCCCAUUUCCAGCACCACCACUUCAUCCUCUCAAAGCUUGCUGGUGUGAUCUGUAUGCGGUUACGGAGGUAAAACCUUGGUAGGGAAGCCUGUAUACAUCGUCAGCUCAGCAUCUCACUUAUUUUCUUGUCAGAUUCCACAUCCCAACUCGCGCUGUAUUGUACAGUUCAAAGAAAGCAUUUCACAUCAAGAAAUGUCAUGGUUGCUAGAAAUAAUUUUGUCACAUCCUCUUGAAAUGCUCCUCUUUGCAAGUUCAGAGGUUUCAGUUAGAUUCAAAUCUUAUAGGUCCUCUUUUUAAAACAUUCUAAAAGGACAUCUCAUUUUUAAAACUCUUGAUGUCCAAAUAGAGUAGUUCAUUGUCUUCAUCUUAAAAGGUACAAAAUGGGAAGAUUCUGAAGAGGCAAUUUAUGAUGUGCAGGUACCUGAUUUUCUGGUAAUUGGAAACUGUUUUUGAUGCUAUGAAUUAGUUUUUGUGUUUUGCUAUCCACUUAUCAAAGGCAGUUGAGAUGAAUGUACAGGAAUUCCACAGGUUGGGUGUUAGUGGAGUCCCCACAUCCCGGGCACCAAAAGUUAACCCCAUGUAGUUCUUAAAGCCUUUAUCCUGGAUCUCAUUAUUUGUUAUGGGUAUCUUCCUCAUGGGUAUUCAAUACUCUCUCAAACUGAGUCAACAAAAUUUUGGAGAAUAUUUAGAGACAUUUCUGAUUUGGUUCUUCUCAAAGCACCUCAUUUAGUUAUUCACUCAACAAACACAGAGCACCUACUAUGUGCCCAGUGUUAUACUAGACCUUGAGGACUUUCCACUAGCCCUCUCCCCCAACUCUUAAAAAAUGGAGGUGGACAAAGGACCACACAGAGAGACAUCAUGGGUAGAAGAAAGCCUUGAGAUCAGAUAGUCUUAGGUUCAAAUUUCCUCCUUAGUACUUCUCAGGGAAAUAACUGAGUUUUGUUCAGAGCCUCGGUUUUCUCAUCUCUAGAGUGGACACAGUCAUACGUACCAGCAAUAUUGUUUGAGCAUCUGAGAUAUGUGAAACAUUCGAUCAUGGUGCAUGUUAAAGAAACUGGAUCUGUUAUUAACAGGAAGCAUUUGCUUGUCGUCGAUUGCUACUCACUGAAAACCAGCUUGGUUUUUGCCUUUCGUUUAUGUUAGGAUCCCCAGAAACAGAUCCCCAGAAACAGAUCCCAAGGCAAGGAUUCAUGUGCAAAGGGAUCCUAGGAGGAACUGGAAGGGAACGGUCAAGUCAGACACAAGGGGAAGUAACCAAACAAUUGCAAGGGCAAUUUCAGGGAGUGUCCACAGAGGGUAGGUCUGGUAGGCACUGCUCCUCAGAAUUUGCAACUACCCCAAGCACAGAAGCUGGGCUUUCACUCUUACAACCACCAAUCAUUAGCUAAAGGGGUGGCAACAUCAGGAACCCUGGUUCACCACAUGUGAGGGGAAAAUGGUACCAGUAGCCCCCCAAAAGGCAUCCAUGGAUGGUCUCCGGUGCUGGAAGUUAGAAUCAGAGGCACACAGAACCUGGAAGAGAGGUGCAUGGAAAUAGGAAAGGGGUAGGGGUUAUGAGAGCACCUGGGUGAAGCAUGGACCCUGGUGGUCAUAACUUUAUUUUCUGACUUCUGGAGGACAUUAGCCCUGGUCCAAUUAGCCCCAAUAAAUAAGAAGAAGUUUAGAGAAUUUACCCACCCAAAUUUGGCUAAUGGGAGGGCUUGGGGCCAAGCUUUGGGGUCAGCCUCGUUCAAGCAAAAAUCUCAGCCUAUCUUUUUACAGCCUGUGUGACUUUGGGCAACUGAUUUAGCCUCUGUGACUUUAAACUUCUCGUUUAUAAAUUGGGAAUAAUGAUAUACUUUGUAUAGGUUUGUUCUCGGCUGAGAUGUCUUUAUGUUUACUGGUUGAUCUGAUAAUAUACAUGCUGAGCAGCUGCAGUAUACACACUGUCAGCUCAGGGCUAAGCCUUGGUACCCUGAAAUGAAUCCAACACUAUCCUGCCCCAAGAUCUUGGCGCUGAGUGGAGGCGGCAGACAUACACACACAUCAAAGCCUCUGUCCUUCCUUGUACACUCUCCCUCUCUCUUCCCAUCUCCCUCUCUGUGUUUUAUUUUUUGAUCUUGUCUCUUCUUCUCUCCUUCCUUUGGCCCCAUUUCCUUCCUCCUUCAUUUCUUCUCUAUGUUUCUGUCUUGCAUCUUCCUACAGACCUAGUUUUUUUGUUUUUUGGUUUUCUUCUAUCAGCUGGACGAUAUCCAACCUUCCGCCCUGUGAACUUUCUGCCUCCUGCUGUUGUUUUCCAAGGGCCCUUCUGAAGGUUGCAGAGUCUGUGAAGUUCUGGGAAAUUUAAUUCAAUCCGGACCCAUAGGUGUGACAGAAGGUGACUUGGAGAUAACAGAAAACCAGCCAGAGCUUCAGUUAAAGCUUGGGUCUGGGGAGGGUAGAAGGGGAGGGAGUGCAACUAGCACCUCCACGUGGGAAACCCUGGGGACUUACAAAUAGAAUAUGUGGCUUAUUACUUUGGGGCGCUGCGGUGGGAGUCAGGGGAGGGUCUGGACAAAUGGUGAUUUCCCUGCUUUUUUGCAGAUGGGGAGUGUCUCCCAAGUGCCCUGCUUAUCCCAGUUAGGCAAUUCAUAGCUUUAAUUCUAGCUCUAACUAGCUGCAUGAUCUUUUUUGUUUUUAAAGUUUUUUUGAAGUAUGGUUGAUUUGCUAGGUUGUCAUGAUUUCUGCUGUAGCUGCAUGGCCUUGAAUGUUGUUUUCCUCAUCCAUGUGAUAUAGAAGCUCUGACCUUUUAGGACUGCUCUGGUCCUCUUGGCCGGAUAUUCUGCUUUCAAAAAUCUCUGAUCCUGAUUUUCCUUCUGGCACAGUGAGUUAAGGCUCCAGUGUUGUCAUUGCAGCGUGGGGAAAAAAAAAAAAAUCUCUGAUUUCUUCCCACAUUGUGCCUCAGUCUUGGAAUGUCACCCACGAGGUGUUCCUAUAACAACGAUUUUUUUUUUUCAUUCUAGGAUUCUGGAGGUUGAAUAACUUAGGUUUUGAGAAAGAUCUCAACCCAGGGCCCUGGAGACAAGACUCUGUAGGGUGGAACUCAGGUACCGUUGUACUGUGAUGUUCAGGGCAGCUGCUCUAGGAGGAGAGGGCUUGUAUAAGACAGUACUCAGCCUCAAAUAUCAUAAUUCAGUAGGUCUGGGGGCCCUGGAAACAGUAUUUUAAGAAACACAUCAGGAAUCCUCAUGUGGUAGUCGAUGGACCACAGUUUGAGAAUCACUUCUAGGCAUCUGGGCUUACCUCUGUCCCCAGUACUCCAGUGCAGUUAUGAAAGGUCUCUGAGCAUCUUUUCCUGUCUGCACUGUCUUCACCCCUGCCCUGUAUUCUGCAUGAUUUCUAUCAGGCACAGUUGAAAUGGCAAAUGAAAAAACUCUAAGAAUCAAAGAUGGUGGCUUUCCUGUGUGACAUUACACCAGCCCCAAGGUCCUACCUCUCAGUUCUCAGAGACAGAGACACUUCAGGCAGAGAAUAUUUGAAUGACACUUCAGCCUCUCACCCACCUCCUACACCAGACAUCGCUUAAGACCUGCUUCCCUUCCCUUUGGUCAGUUGUUUUUACUUUAGUCCUGGCUAUGGCAAACAGCCAAGCAGGUAAACCUGGAUGGCACCUGGUCCAGGUGUGCUGAUAGCUCCUACUUUCUGUCUCAGCUCCUUUCUGCCUCCAUCAGGUAGGAUAAUGUCAGGAACCAGCCCAGUCCUUCUAAAGCAUGUGCUGUGGUUGGGUGUAUAAGGGGUUAAUGGUCCAUGGGCCAAGGCUUGGCCAACGGGAUGGGAGGUAGGGAGGCACAUUCCCCACUCUGUCGCUUGAAAGACAAUUCUGACCGCCUUCUCUCAGCUCCUCAGAGGUCCUUGUGGGCUGGAGCCCACCUCCUCACAGUGGUUUUCAGGUCCGUAAAGCCCGCUGUGCUUGGCUUUGCUCCUUUCCUUCUCAGUCCCUACUUCUUUUCCUUGGGAUCACCUCCUAAAAUAACCAUGUUUAAGCCUCUACUUCAGACU
RNAcentral lists this long non-coding RNA (4374 nucleotides) under Sus scrofa (pig). RNAcentral describes it as "lncRNA (ENSSSCG00000056288.1)". Lineage: Eukaryota; Metazoa; Chordata; Mammalia; Artiodactyla; Suidae. The record is from RNAcentral.